UACGGGGGGGGCAAGCGUUGUUCGGAAUUACUGGGCGUAAGGGGUUCGUAGGUGGCCUGCUAAGUCAGACGUGAAAUCCCUCAGCUUAACUGGGGAACUGCGUCUGAGACUGGUGGGCUUGAGUGCAGGAGAGGAACGCGGAAUUCCAGGUGUAGCGGUGAAAUGCGUAGAUAUCUGGAGGAACACCGGUGGCGAAGGCGGCGUUCUGGACUGCUACUGACACUGAGGAACGAAAGCCAGGGGAGCAAACGGG
This 253-nucleotide ribosomal RNA is filed under the name uncultured bacterium. RNAcentral's name for it is "partial 16S ribosomal RNA". It matches the Rfam family "Bacterial small subunit ribosomal RNA", at positions 524 to 776 of the family's 1533-position model. The record is from RNAcentral.